AUGUCCAGUACUCACAAGGUUUGCCUCUUUAUGUUGUACCUGACAAGGGACGAAAAGCCACAAAAGCCACUAAAGGUGAGCCUCGGGAUGCCGAGCUCCCUUGCGAUGUCACCGGUCCACCAGUGCGCCAUGUCAGAUAUGAUGCAGCUAGGAGGCGAGCGCUGCUGCUCACGGAGGUACGCCAUGAGCGGCUCAUGCAGCAUGGCACAUGCCUUCAUGAAGUUAAAGAACACAUUCUUUGAUUGGAUCAUGUCGAGGUUCUCGCACCCAUCUGGUAGGCCGAACUCUACACUCGGGAAGUGGAGCUCCACGAGCUGA
Molecule: ribosomal RNA, 318 nt
Filed under: Triticum aestivum (bread wheat)
Lineage: Eukaryota; Viridiplantae; Streptophyta; Magnoliopsida; Poales; Poaceae
Description: partial small subunit ribosomal RNA
Source: RNAcentral